UACAGAGGUCCCAAGCGUUGUUCGGAUUCAUUGGGCGUAAAGGGUGCGUAGGUGGCGCCGUAAGUCGGGUGUGAAAUCUCGGAGCUUAACUCCGAAACUGCAUUCGAUACUGCCGUGCUUGAGGACUGGAGAGGAGACUGGAAUUUACGGUGUAGCGGUGAAAUGCGUAGAUAUCGUAAGGAAGACCAGUGGCGAAGGCGGGUCUCUGGACAGUACCUGACGCUGAUGCACGAAGGCCAGGGGAGCAAACGGG
Molecule: ribosomal RNA, 253 nt
Filed under: uncultured bacterium
Lineage: Bacteria
Description: partial 16S ribosomal RNA
Rfam family: Bacterial small subunit ribosomal RNA
Source: RNAcentral